RNAcentral lists this ribosomal RNA (567 nucleotides) under uncultured bacterium. RNAcentral's name for it is "partial 16S ribosomal RNA". It matches the Rfam family "Bacterial small subunit ribosomal RNA", at positions 355 to 914 of the family's 1533-position model. The record is from RNAcentral.
UGGGGAAUUUUGGACAAUGGGCGAAAGCCUGAUCCAGCAAUGCCGCGUGUGUGAAGAAGGCCUUCGGGUUGUAAAGCACUUUUGUCCGGAAAGAAAUCCUUGGCUCUAAUACAGUCGGGGGAUGACGGUACCGGAAGAAUAAGCACCGGCUAACUACGUGCCAGCAGCCGCGGUAAUACGUAGGGUGCAAGCGUUAAUCGGAAUUACUGGGCGUAAAGCGUGCGCAGGCGGUUUGCUAAGACCGAUGUGAAAUCCCCGGGCUCAACCUGGGAACUGCAUUGGUGACUGGCAGGCUAGAGUAUGGCAGAGGGGGGUAGAAUUCCACGUGUAGCAGUGAAAUGCGUAGAGAUGUGGAGGAAUACCGAUGGCGAAGGCAGCCCCCCUGGGCCAAAUACUGACGCUCAUGCACGAAAGCGUGGGGAGCAAACAGGAUUAGAUACCCUGGUAGUCCACGCCCUAAACGAUGUCAACUAGUUGUUGGGGAUUCAUUUCCUAGUAACGUAGCUAACGCGUGAAGUUGACCGCCUGGGGAGUACGGUCGCAAGAUUAAAACUCAAAUGAAUUGAC